AGCAGCCGCGGUAAUUCCAGCUCCAAUAGCGUAUAUUAAAGUUGCUGCAGUUAAAAAGCUCGUAGUUGAAUUUCGGGACUAAUAUGUCGGUCGUGCCUCGGUACGUACUGGUUUAUUGGUUUCUCCUUUCUGAAGAACCAUGAUGUCAUUUAUUUGGUGUCGUGGGGAAUCAGGACUGUUACUUUGAAAAAAUUAGAGUGUUUAAAGCAGGCUCACGCUUGAAUACAUUAGCAUGGAAUAAUGAAAUAGGACGUUUGAUUCUAUUUUGUUGGUUUCUAGGAUCGACGUAAUGAUUAAUAGGGAUAGUUGGGGGCAUUAGUAUUCAAUUGUCAGAGGUGAAAUUCUUGGAUUUAUUGAAGACUAACUACUGCGAAAGCAUUUGCCAAGGAUGUUUUCAUUAAUCAAGAACGAAAGUUAGGGGAUCGAAGACGAUCAGAUACCGUCGUAGUCUUAACCAUAAACUAUGCCGACUAGGGAUCGGAUGAUGUUAAUUUUUUAAUGUACUCAUUCGGCGCCUUAC
Molecule: unclassified non-coding RNA, 520 nt
Filed under: uncultured Glomus
Lineage: Eukaryota; Fungi; Glomeromycota; Glomeromycetes; Glomerales; Glomeraceae
Description: SSU rRNA
Rfam family: Eukaryotic small subunit ribosomal RNA
Source: RNAcentral